AUGAAGGAGAGGGAUCACGGAUCACAUAGAUCGAUAGGGAAACGGCGGAUUGCUCCUCCAGGAAAAGUGGUGAAGUUGAGAUCUCUUAAAGUGUCAGGAACCGAAGUUCAAUUCAUAAUAUAGCUGUUAUGUCUACACACAGCUCAACAGUUAACCUCGAUGAGGAGGGCUGUUUGAAAGAGCAAAGCUAGUAGGCUAUAGUUCAUGUAGAAUGCAACGGAUAGACCUACUGUACAGGGGCCACAGAAUUCAAUGAACCGGAAACCUACCUAAUCCAGCACUGGUAACUACAAGGGAUGUUCCUAAUUAUGUCAUUAAAACAACGGGUUACAUAUAACCUGAUGGACAACAUGUCACCCUGUCACCUACAGUAUAACCUGAUGGACAACAUGUCACCCUGUCACCUACAGUAUAACCUGAUGGACAACAUGUGGGGAAACAAUAAUCCACCGUCAUGAGAAGGUCACUCUUUAAUCUAGGCCCCACAGGGACAAACCACUGCUGGGAGGAAGAAGGAUUUACAGCAUUUCCUGAACGAAUGGUUCCUGUAGCACAUUCCUGCCCUGCUUUACACGCACGCACACACACACAAACACACACACACACACACACACACAUCCCAUUCCUGCCCUGCUUUGCAAAUCAUCCACAUAACUGAGGCUAAGGAAUAAAAGCUGUGUCACUGUGCUGAGGCUGAGGCUUUGCUUCUCGUGUUACUGCCUGUUUGAUAUGUGGAACAAAAAAGGGGUUGACAGGCCAGUGCCUUUCAUCUGACUGCAAAGCAACUCUGCAGCUAACCGGAAGGGGGUGAUAUAAUGCUGUUUAAACUGACUUCUGAUCCCAGCCCCCAACACACACACACACACACACACACACACACACACACACACACACACACACACACACACACACACACACACACACACACACACACACACACACUCUUACAAAAGCAGGCGCGCACACACAUGCAUGUACGCACGCACGUAUGCACACACACACUUGUACAACUUCAAGCAUCAUACGCACACUCGCACAAGUAUACACACACACAUUCUCUCUCUCUUUCGCGCUCUCUCUCUCACACUCUCUCAGAGAGAUCUGCAUUAAAAAGACAUAAGGUAGAAAAUACACUCACGUUCUGCCUCUCUCCAUGCAUGCUUAAGGAGAUGUUAGAUAUCUUCAAUUAUGUAUCAUCAGCCAGAGACGAUUAGUAUCAAAAUCUGCCUUCUGGCUGAUGUAAUGAGCCAGCUAUAGUCUAUCAUUUCUUUGUGAAGAAAAUGAAGAUACAGUGUAUAAUAUCCAAACUACUCUACCUGUAUAUUACUGUAUGUCAUUUCUAUGUUUAUAUGUUUGUAUAUAACUAUCUAUGAUAUAAUUGACAGUUGUUUUGUUGCGUUGCUGCGAUUGUUUGUACUUUUGGGUUGCUGCGUGCUAUAAUUGACAUGUGAAUGCUGAGGAAAUGGAAAGAUGAAUUCCUCUGUUUUUCCCUAAGCAAAGCAAGUGCUCUCAUCCAAAAGUGAAAUUCCUGUGACUUCAGCAAACCAUUCAUUAAGGUUUCCGUCCACAAGAUGGGCAAUGGCCUGUUUGGUAGUGGAGCCCCACUGCCUCGUACUACUCUCACAACCUCAGGAAUGUUGCAUUUGCUCAAAAAACUGUUAUGUUGAAAAACACUUUAAAUGCAAAGAGAUUUUAUUGGGUGACUGGGUUGACUGGGGUUACAUUACCCUUCUUCCUGAGUGGAACAGCACUAUAAGGAAUAGAAGUAGGGAUAUACUGAUUACUUAUAGGCCUCAGCAUAGAUAAUAUAGGGAUGAAGACAUACAGUAAAAUGACAAACGGGGCUGUAUAUUUAAGGGUGACGUAAUACAGCUAUGGCAAAGGAAUGCCUUUCUUUGUUACAUAAUACAGUAAAUGUACUUAGCAGACAUCCUUUAGGGGGAUGCAUCUAUUCACAUUCGAUAAACAUCUGUGAUAUAGACAUAUUCUAUGACCCAAAUAGCACCCUAUUCACUAUACCAGGGUUUCCCUUAGUCCUGGGGCCUCCUAGCACUACACAGCUGAUUCAAAUAAUCAAAGCUUGAUGAUGAGUUGGUUCUUUGAAUCAGGUGUGGGAAGCCCUGCCUGUAGGCCUAGCGCACUAUGUAGGGGUAGGGUGCCAUUUGGGACACACAGAGAAUCAUUCUUCGAGGGUGAAGUCGACAACAGAGAUAACUGUUCUCUUGACGCUAUGAGAACCUUGCCACAAUUUUGUGUUAUUACAAUGUUAAUGCAAUAUCAGAACAACAUCUCAAUCCUUUUCUCUCCUUUCUCAUCGACUGUCGACCUCUCUCUCCUCUCCUCUCCUCUCCUCCUUUCUCCUCUCCUCUCCUCCUUCAGUGCAGAUUAUGUGGAAAGGAGAGAAGAGGAAAGACAAAUACCUUAUAUAGCCUACUACUAGAGAUGUGGUAACCUCCUCGCAAGGCACACACAGAGUCCUGUUCUGAUAUUGAAUUAAGCCUUUUUUAAAUAUGUAGGAAAGUUAAUAGUACUGAACUACAACCCGAAUUUAUGAGUAAAACCCUCUGCUAUAUGCCACUCCUAUUGGUCGGCAUCUUUUGUUCACGCCUCCUAGCCCAUAGUCAUCCCCUACAACAUUGGUGGGAGCACCUGUCACUCAAGGUGCAUAAGCGGUGGGAGUCGUCAGUGUUCUUUGACGUUGGAGUUUGAUUGGCCAGCUGUUGCUAUUGGCGUCACUGCGCUGCCAGCUGAUCGCAGUGAGAAGCCGGUUUGAAGGGAGUUGGACUAGAGAGAACCAAGACGCAGCGAUAGAGGGACUGGUUGGUUGGGGAACUGCUGGGAAACUGGAAAGUGAAACUGGGGCGGUAUCUUCGUUUUUACCGGUUAAGUUAUGAUGUAUCGCACACAAAUAUAUACAAGGGUGAUAGUUGAAUAGUUGUAAGUGUAUUUUAAACUUGAACUAUUAUAGAUGUGUUUCGUCCAGGACUAGAACUGUCAAAAUUGAUUGAGAGAGUUAAGGUGUGGCUGCCUUUAAAACGGGUUUUCUUCUUCAAGACUUGCAUCUGACCUAAAUGCUUAUGAUAAUAAAGCUUAAUCAUAGCUAUAUACAGGGAGAAGUAGCCUAGCUGAUCGAUUUUCAAUAUUAAUGGCGCAUUUGACAGAGGAAGCAUUCGGUUAUACAACUAAUAGUGCCGUCUCGACAAGGCUAAUAAGCAUUAUUCUAAAUAUGACCGAUGGAAUCUAUUCUGCUAUUAUUUGGAUGAUCAUAACAAGUAUUUAAUAAUUCAAUGUAUAAUGCUUUGAAAUGGACUUAGCAACUUUACAAUCAUAUUGUAGCCCACAGAUGAGUGGCAAGUCAACGGAGCUGUGGGGCAGUAGGCCUAGUCCGUGAUAUAGAGGAAUUCGACUAUUGAUAAAACAUCUGAUUUAUUUAUUUAUUUUUAAUCGUUUUCUUUAUGAUGGAGCUGCUUGUAACUAGGUUACUGACAUGUUGAGUCACACCGAGGAAAGAAGUUAGUCUAACCUACAGAAAAAAGUAAGUGCGUCUAUAUUAAUUGAAAAACUUUAAAAUGUCUUUAUGAGUGUGGAAUAACCUUAACUGAAUAGAUUGAAGUAAUCUACAUAGUCUGCAACUAAAAUAUAAAAUAGAGGGUGAAAUGACCUAUUGUGACUAUUGUCAUAACCGUUACAAAUAUUGCAAAUUGAAUGUUCCAAAUGAUGUAAUCAAAUAGUUAACUUGCAGUGCCAUUCGGACUAUUUGUACUCUGGUCUGUAGGCGGUGCCUUCACUGCCAUAUUACCUAAUUCAACACAGCAGUGUAUUGACUAUAAGAUGUAAGAGUUUUUUCAAAGGCCAUCUCAUAUAGACUAAACGUUAAAUGUAUUGGUUUAUGGACACUUCUAUUGUGCGCAUUCGUGGCAUAUAGAGACAACGGGCGUGCCCAUCAAUUAGUCUACUUGUAAGAAAAAUAAUGGGGCCAAAGAGCCCAGAAUAAGAUUCGGUCAUAUUUAAAACUUAAACAAAAUGUAAAAGAUCAAGCUCAUUGCUGUACUGUAAAACCGUUUUAAAAUACCUAUUCAUAGAUCAUAGGUUUGAACUAUACAUGUUUAUAAUUUAGUAGUAUGCUACUAGCCUAAAGAAUAAUGCGUAAUGAACUUACUCAUUAUCUUCUCGUUAUUUAGUUCGAGUAACUCACUGUAAUUCCCUUUAGUUCGACUUAAAGGAGAGGAUUGCGAAGCAAAUUUCUUUAAGGCCCCACCCUUUACAGAGAUACAUGGAUGUGGACGACAGUUUUCCCCGUAAAUUUCUUCCUUUCCCUCCUCUCCGCAUCUCUCAUUUUACGUUGAUAAAUCCUGCUUUAAAUGGAGAGAACCUGUAACCUUCCCUAUGAACUGGCUGGCAACACCCUAAAAAUCAGACAGCAGGAUCUUCAUUCAAGCUCCCAUGACAUCUCCUUUCUUUGAUCAAGAUUCCACUGCCCACCCUGAUGGCCAAAGAGACAGAAGAUGUAGCCUAAUGUGUGUGUGCAUCUGUUGCGUGUGUGUGUGUGUGUGUGUUUAUAUGUAUGUAUUUUUGUACAUGUUGCGUGGGUGCUCACUGGCUGACCCACAGCAGUUCUUCACUGGCAAGCUUUAUGUCCUUGUGUACCAACUAAAGCUGCCAGCUGAAGAACUGUUGUGGUUAGCUCUUUCCUGCAUCCCACACAGAAGACCAACAGACGCCUUCGAGAAAUAUGUGUGUGUGUGCGCGUGUGUGUGUGAGUGUGAAUGUGUGUGCAUGUGCAUGUGUGUGUGGGUGUCCAGAUGCCAUGCAUGGGAUCAGUGAAUUCUCCAUCCAGAUGUUCCAUAUAGCAACCUGUCAAUGGUAGCAGUGUACAGCAUGUUUAGAGGUAAAUACAGCAUACAUGAAGCCUAUGUCUAAAACAGAAUAGCUAGCUAUCCAAGACAUCUGUUAUGAUGCAAUAGGUCUCAGAUAAGAACACAUGAACCCACUGCACUCAAAUGUAAUGUUCCCAUUAAGUAGGAAGUAUGAAAAAUGCUUACAAACUAUGAAGUAUGUUUACUAAGUAUGAAGUGGGCUUACUAAAUAUGAAGUAUGCUCACGAAGUAGGAAGUAUGCUUACUUGAAGUAUGCUUACUGAAGAUGGAUUUUACUGUAUGUGUGCUGUAUUUUGCUCUAUUUACAGUAUGUUGUAUUUAGCUUUAUCUAUGUUUACUCAACAGAGUUGUAUCUAUUCUUUCAUGUACAAUGCGAGCUCUUUUGUACCAAACAAUCAGCAUCAACUGCCCCCACAAA
This is a long non-coding RNA of Salmo salar (Atlantic salmon), 5295 nucleotides long. RefSeq lists it as uncharacterized. The record is from RefSeq and is a predicted model, not a curated record. Lineage: Eukaryota; Metazoa; Chordata; Actinopteri; Salmoniformes; Salmonidae.